This 74-nucleotide transfer RNA is filed under the name Planctomycetaceae bacterium. RNAcentral's name for it is "tRNA-Val". It matches the Rfam family "tRNA". Rfam says of the family: Transfer RNA (tRNA) molecules are approximately 80 nucleotides in length. Their secondary structure includes four short double-helical elements and three loops (D, anti-codon, and T loops). The record is from RNAcentral. Lineage: Bacteria; Pseudomonadati; Planctomycetota; Planctomycetia; Planctomycetales; Planctomycetaceae. RNAcentral also lists the same sequence under 1 other name.
GGGCGACUAGCUCAGUUGGUUAGAGCGCCGUCCUCACACGGCGGAAGUCACAGGUUCGAGUCCCGUGUCGCCCA